Molecule: ribosomal RNA, 447 nt
Filed under: Staphylococcus sp.
Lineage: Bacteria; Bacillati; Bacillota; Bacilli; Caryophanales; Staphylococcaceae
Description: bacterial SSU rRNA
Rfam family: Bacterial small subunit ribosomal RNA
Source: RNAcentral
ACUUUAAUUCUUUGUCUGGCUGAUCUGACGGUAAUGCGCCACGCGAGUGAUAAAGGCCUGCUGAUCGAACAACUCUGUUAAUAGGGAAGAACAUAUGUGUAAGUAACUGUGCACAUCUUGACGGUACCUAAUCAGAAAGCCACGGCUAACUACGUGCCAGCAGCCGCGGUAAUACGUAGGUGGCAAGCGUUAUCCGGAAUUAUUGGGCGUAAAGCGCGCGUAGGCGGUUUUUUAAGUCUGAUGUGAAAGCCCACGGCUCAACCGUGGAGGGUCAUUGGAAACUGGAAAACUUGAGUGCAGAAGAGGAAAGUGGAAUUCCAUGUGUAGCGGUGAAAUGCGCAGAGAUAUGGAGGAACACCAGUGGCGAAGGCGACUUUCUGGUCUGUAACUGACGCUGAUGUGCGAAAGCGUGGGGAUCAAACAGGAUUAGAUACCGAGGUAGUCCAU